Molecule: ribosomal RNA, 253 nt
Filed under: uncultured bacterium
Lineage: Bacteria
Description: partial 16S ribosomal RNA
Rfam family: Bacterial small subunit ribosomal RNA
Source: RNAcentral
UACAGAGGGUGCAAGCGUUAAUCGGAAUUACUGGGCGUAAAGGGCGCGUAGGUGGUUGCGUAAGUGAGAUGUGAAAUCCCUGGGCUUAACCCAGGAACUGCAUCUUAUACUGUGUAACUUGAGUACUGUAGAGGGUAGUGGAAUUUCCGGUGUAGCGGUGAAAUGCGUAGAGAUCGGAAGGAACACCAGUGGCGAAGGCGGCUACCUGGACAGAUACUGACACUGAGGCGCGAGAGCGUGGGGAGCAAACAGG